This 31-nucleotide non-coding RNA is filed under the name Homo sapiens (human). The record is from RNAcentral. Lineage: Eukaryota; Metazoa; Chordata; Mammalia; Primates; Hominidae.
UAGCUAACCCACUCCCGAGAUAAUAUUAAUG